GGUGGGAAGGCGUGUCACCUCGUUUUCGGCUACCUGCGUGCCGUGGGGACGCUUUGGCGUACUGGCUCUCAUUCCUUAAAGGGUCGAUAGCUGUCAAGUGCAAAUCCUGUGUAUGAGAAGUUCUAUCGACAGGUUGAUUCUGCCAAUACUGGAAGAGUGUUAGCUUCUGAUGCAGC
This is a non-coding RNA of Meleagris gallopavo (turkey), 176 nucleotides long. The record is from RefSeq and is a predicted model, not a curated record. Lineage: Eukaryota; Metazoa; Chordata; Aves; Galliformes; Phasianidae.